RNAcentral lists this ribosomal RNA (502 nucleotides) under uncultured Glomeromycotina. RNAcentral's name for it is "partial small subunit ribosomal RNA". It matches the Rfam family "Eukaryotic small subunit ribosomal RNA", at positions 591 to 1092 of the family's 1831-position model. The record is from RNAcentral. Lineage: Eukaryota; Fungi; Glomeromycota.
CCAAUAGCGUAUAUUCAAGUUGUUGCAGUUAAAAAGCUCGUAGUUGAAUUUCGGGGUCUAUCCAUUGGUCGGGCUUUAUUGUCCGUACUGGUGUGAUGGGUUCCUACCUUCUGAAUAACCGGCAUGCCAUUCAUUUGGUGCGUCGGGGACGCAGAUCUAUUACCUUGAAAAAAUUAGAGUGCUUACAGCAGGCUAGUGCUUGAAUAGAUUAGCAUGGCAUAAUAAAAUAGGACGGCAUGGUUCUAUUUUGUUGGUUUCUAGGAUCACCGUAAUGAUUAAUAGGGAUAGUUGGGGGCAUUAGUAUUCAAUUGUCAGAGGUUAAAUUCCUGGAUUUAUUGAAGACUAACUUCUGCGAAAGCAUUUGCCAAGGAUGUUUUCAUUAAUCAAGAACGAAAGUUAGGGGAUCGAAGACGAUCAGAUACCGUCGUAGUCUUAACCAUAAACUAUGCCGACUAGGGAUCGGACGAAGUUAAUUUUUUAAUGACUCGUUCGGCGCCUUACG